GAUGAACGCUAGCGGGAUGCCUAACACAUGCAAGCCGAGCGGUAGAGUUUCUUCGGAAACUUGAGAGCGGCGCACGGGUGCGUAACACGUGUGCAACCUACCUUUAUCUGGGGGAUAGCCUUUCGAAAGGAAGAUUAAUACCCCAUAAUAUAAUGAUUGUCAUCAAGUAUUAUUGAAAACUCCGGUGGAUAGAGAUGGGCACGCGCAAGAUUAGAUAGUUGGUGAGGUAACGGCUCACCAAGUCAAUGAACUUUAGGGGUCCUGAGAGGGAGAUCCCUCACACUGGUACUGCGACACGGACCAGACUCCUACGGGAGGCAGCAGUGAGGAAUAUUGGACAAGGAGUGAGAGCCUGAUCCAGCCAUCCCGCGUGAAGGAUGACGGUCCUAGGGAUUGUAAGCUUCUUUUGUACAGGGAUAAACCUACCACCGUGAGGGUAGCUGAAGGUACUGUACGAAUAAGCACCGGCUAACUCCGUG
This 479-nucleotide ribosomal RNA is filed under the name uncultured bacterium. RNAcentral describes it as "partial 16S ribosomal RNA". It matches the Rfam family "Bacterial small subunit ribosomal RNA", at positions 28 to 507 of the family's 1533-position model. The record is from RNAcentral.